GCGCUGCGAUUGGCCUCUUGGUUGUAGGGAAACUCUUCUGGGUCCUUGAUGGUAUAACGUUGACCGGUGCUCAGUAGUUUCGGGAUUGGUCAAGUAUGGUACAAACAAUACUAUAUGUCCAGAUAAAGGGAGUUCAGGGCCAUUCCAACUAUUUCUUUGAUUACAAUUAAAAUUAAAGAAGCAAGGUUAAUUAGUUUAGCCCGAUUAAUCAUCAAAAUAAAACUUUGAACUAAAAGCCAUUGAAAAUGAUUUAAAACAUAAAGAAAAAUGCAUUAAACAACAGAUCUACUUUACGUAAGUACAAACAAAAGAGGCUCGGGCAAUAUUAUAACCUUGUCGGGCAAGGUUUAUCUUCUUGUAGCUACUUUUCUUUGUGUUUUAAAAGGGUUGUAAUAUUUGGAGAAUGAAAGGUAAAACUCGUUUUACUAAAGGGAUUCGAUACUACAACGUUGGGGAAAAGUAACAGAGCUUCUAAAUCUUGACAUAAGAUGGCUUUCUAUGGUGAAUCUAUGACUAAGAGAACAGAGUCCGGACAAACUAAAGCUUUCUGUUUCUUGCUUAACUGAGAGCAAAGUGGGAUGUCUUUUGAUUGAUUUGUUGAAUGUCUUUAUUUUUUGUGUCCCUUGCUGCUUUUAUAGACUUUUUAGCCUGACUGUCUAAGCCUUGCCUUUUGGUGAUGGCCUUCAGAGCAUGGUGAGUCACCACUUAUUUACCUAUCUAUGCUCUCUAAAAGUGUUUUUUUUACUGAGGGUGAGCCGCCCUCUGUUGCCUAUCACUUCUCUCAUAGGCUUGUUGCUUAUUGCAUGCCAAAAUGAUGUUUUAAUUCUUCCUGGGUUGUCGACUUGUCCGAGCCAAAUCUUCCAUUUGCUUUUUGUGUUCUUGGGCCUCCCCUCUCACUAAGCCCCGCAUUAAAUAUCCACUCAAACAGUGCCGCCUUUAAUCAUUGUCAAGUAAGCUACUCUAGACAUUGAUAAUGAUUAAAAUAAAUUGCAUGUCGAAACUGGUAUUAGUGCCACUUAAUUAGCCUUUUUAAACAAACCUUUGCACUAACGCACAAUUUCCAAAGUUAACUGCCUGACCAUUAAUUAACUUCCAUUUCGUUUUUCUCGGCCACAUCCUGAUAGGAGCAUAUUUAUGCGCCUUAGUUAGCUAGUUCUUAUGCAUUUUCGUUAUGUUUUCUUCGUUAAAGUAGUCUUUUAAGCUACUUUCAUGUGUUUUCAGGUUUAAAGGACAUAUUACAUGAAAUGAUGCAAUUUGGAGCUUUUUGGAGCAAAAAGUGAGCUUGGAUUGAAAAGUACAUGCUUGGAACACAAGGUUGGGAUGAAAUUGAAGAUUUGAAGAUUUGAGGAUUCCUAGUACAAGAAGGAUUCCUAGUCCGAGGAGGAGUCCUAACUGAAGAAGGAUUCCUAAUCAACGAGGGAUUUCUAGUUGAAGAUGGAUUCCGAGAAGAACGAAGAUUCCUACUCAAACGAGGUUUCCUACUUGAAGUAGGAAAGCUAAGCCUAAAAGUUUCCAUUUUGGGUUUAUCUUUCCUAAACCUAAAUGGCCUUGCGUUUUAGCAACAUUAGAAGGUUCCUAAGCGUUGAAAGACACGAAGAGUGGUUCUAGAACAUUUUCUCAUCCUUGCCGUGGGUUGGGCUUAUUUCUUCUUGGUUUUGGGCUUUCUAGAAGCCCUAUCUACAAACCCUAACCCUAGCCACUAAUCAGCCGCACCUUUCCCCUUCUAGAACACCUAUUUCCUUGCCUUGCAAGGCAUUCUAGAAGCCCUAACCCUAGCCCACUUAAGCAGCCGCACCCUAGGCCUUUUCCCAUGCAAAAAUCUGAUUGUUUAACCUAAUUCCUUGUGGAUUUUCAACCCUAGCCGCACCUAAACCCUAGCCCAUUGUCUAACCUGAUUUCUUUAGGGUUUGUGGUGCCUAUAUAUAUGUGUUUUUACAUCCUUUGGCUGACUACCACCUCCCAUAUCAACCAUUCACGCCAGAAAUUCAUACCAAGACUUUGCC
RNAcentral lists this long non-coding RNA (2003 nucleotides) under Malus domestica (apple). Its description in RNAcentral is "long non-coding RNA (MDOM_LNC015978)". The record is from RNAcentral. Lineage: Eukaryota; Viridiplantae; Streptophyta; Magnoliopsida; Rosales; Rosaceae.